CAAAGGCUUGGUCCUGACUUUACUAUCAACUCUGACCAGAUUUACACAUGCAAGUCUCCGCACCCCCGUGAGAAUGCCCAUAGUUUUCUAUUCGAAAACAAGGAGCUGGUAUCAGGCACACCUCCCAACUGGUUGCCCACGACGCCUUGCUUAGCCACACCCCCAAGGGAGUUCAGCAGUGAUAAACCUUAAGCCAUAAGUGAAAACUUGACUUAGUUAAGGCCACCUAAAUUUAGGGCCGGUAAAACUCGUGCCAGCCACCGCGGUUAUACGAGAGGCCCAAGUUGAUAGACACCGGCGUAAAGCGUGGUUAGGAGCCCCCCAUCAUUAAAGCCGAACGCCCCCAGAACUGUCAUACGUUCCCGAGGGUAAGAAGCCCACCUACGAAAGUGGCUUUAUCCCAUCCGACCCCACGAAAGCUGCGAAACAAACUGGGAUUAGAUACCCCACUAUGCCCAGCCCUAAACCUUGAUAACACACUACACCCGUUAUCCGCCAGGGAACUACGAGCACCAGCUUAAAACCCAAAGGACUUGGCGGUGCUUUAGAUCCACCUAGAGGAGCCUGUUCUAGAACCGAUAACCCCCGUUGAACCUCACCCUCCCUUGCUCUUACCGCCUAUAUACCGCCGUCGUCAGCUUACCCUGUGAAGGAUUCAUAGUAAGCAAGAUUAGCACAGCCCAAAACGCCAGGUCGAGGUGUAGCAUAUGAGAGGGGAAGAAAUGGGCUACAUUCCCUGCCCCAGGGAACACGAACAAUGUUACUGAAAAGUAUAUUAGAAGGAGGAUUUAGCAGUAAGCAGAAAAUAGAGUGUUCAGCUGAAACCGGCCCUGAAGCGCGCACACACCGCCCGUCACUCUCCCCAAACCAGCAUCUAUCGAUUCCUAAUGCCCAUUCUUGGUAAAGGGGAGGCAAGUCGUAACAUGGUAAGUGUACCGGAAGGUGCACUUGGAAAAC
This 957-nucleotide non-coding RNA is filed under the name Retroculus lapidifer. Its description in RNAcentral is "12S ribosomal RNA". It matches the Rfam family "Bacterial small subunit ribosomal RNA". The record is from RNAcentral. Lineage: Eukaryota; Metazoa; Chordata; Actinopteri; Cichliformes; Cichlidae.